UACGGAGGGUGCAAGCGUUAAUCGGAAUCAUUGGGCGUAAAGAGCGCGUAGGCGGUCUUCUAUGUCAGGUGUGAAAGCCCGGGGCUCAACCCCGGAAGUGCACUUGAAACUGGGAGACUUGAGUAUGGGAGAGGGAAGUGGAAUUCCUGGUGUAGCGGUGAAAUGCGUAGAUAUCAGGAGGAACACCGGUGGCGAAGGCGACUUCCUGGACCAAUACUGACGCUGAGGCGCGAAGGCGUGGGGAGCAAACAGG
This 253-nucleotide ribosomal RNA is filed under the name uncultured bacterium. RNAcentral describes it as "partial 16S ribosomal RNA". It matches the Rfam family "Bacterial small subunit ribosomal RNA", at positions 524 to 776 of the family's 1533-position model. The record is from RNAcentral.